RNAcentral lists this ribosomal RNA (371 nucleotides) under uncultured bacterium. RNAcentral describes it as "bacterial SSU rRNA". It matches the Rfam family "Bacterial small subunit ribosomal RNA", at positions 377 to 763 of the family's 1533-position model. The record is from RNAcentral.
GAAAGCCUGACGGAGCGACGUCGCGUGCUGGAUGAAGUCUUUCGGGACGUAAACAGCUUUUAUGUAUGAGGAAGUUUUGACGUUAGUACAUGAAUAAGGGGCUCCUAACUCUGUGCCAGCAGGAGCGGUAAUACAGAGGCCCCAAGCGUUACCCGGAAUUAUUGGGCGUAAAGGGUGUGUAGGCGGUUAUGUUAGUCGUCCGUGAAAGAUCUGGGCUUAACCCCGGAGGCGCGGGCGAAACGGCAUGGCUUGAGGGCGCGAGAGGUAAAGGGAACUCAUGGUGUAGGGGUGAAAUCCGUUGAUAUCAUGGGGAACACCAAAUGCGAAGGCACUUUACUGGCGCGUUUCUGACGCUGAGACACGAAAGCGUG